GAAGUUGUAGCUCAUUUGUUGAGCGUUGGACUAGUAAUCCAAGGGCCGUCAGUUUGAUACCAGCUCAGCCUCG
Molecule: non-coding RNA, 73 nt
Organism: Potamilus streckersoni
Lineage: Eukaryota; Metazoa; Mollusca; Bivalvia; Unionida; Unionidae
Source: the annotation of a GenBank genome assembly